UAAAGGACAGGACAAGGAUAAAGUGAAACGGGACCGAGCUCGAUUACUAGUUCAGUUGCAAUUUAAUUUGAGGACAAAUAUGCUUUUUUUCAUAUUACUGUAUAACACUCUUAUUAUUUCUCGCACAUACUCACUUUCUAAUUCUUCAAUGCAGCGUUGCAUAUUUUAGGUUUAUGUUAAGAAUUUGGUGUUUGCAUGAGUAUUGUGUUAUGUUGACUUACUUUUUUGUAUAACUACACAUGGUGGCAUAACAACUACCAAGUUUGUGUCUUGAAAGGUAAAAUAUGAUUUGUUGAUCAUUGAUUAAAGGUCACAAAGUUGUUGUGCACAUGAGUGUUAAAAUCAAUAAAUAAAAUUACAAUUUUGGUUCAUAGUCCUGUC
This 381-nucleotide long non-coding RNA is filed under the name Medicago truncatula (barrel medic). RNAcentral's name for it is "lncRNA gene47916". The record is from RNAcentral. Lineage: Eukaryota; Viridiplantae; Streptophyta; Magnoliopsida; Fabales; Fabaceae.